GACGAACGCUGGCGGCGUGCUUAACACAUGCAAGUCGAACGGAAAGGCCCUGCUUUUGUGGGGUGCUCGAGUGGCGAACGGGUGAGUAACACGUGAGUAACCUGCCCUUGACUUUGGGAUAACUUCAGGAAACUGGGGCUAAUACCGGAUAGGAGCUCCUGCUGCAUGGUGGGGGUUGGAAAGUUUCGGCGGUUGGGGAUGGACUCGCGGCUUAUCAGCUUGUUGAUGGGGUAGUGGCUUACCAAGGCUUUGACGGGUAGCCGGGCUGAGAGGGUGACCGGCCACAAUGGGACAGAGAUACGGCCAAGACUCCUACGGGAGGCAGCAGUGUGGAAUAUUGCACCAUGGGCGGAAGCCUGAUGCAGCAACGCCGCGUGCGGGAUAACGGCCUUCUGGUUGUAAACCGCUUUCGCCUGUGACGAAGCGUGAGUGACGGUAAUGGGUAAAGAAGCACCGGAUAACUACGUG
RNAcentral lists this ribosomal RNA (468 nucleotides) under uncultured bacterium. Its description in RNAcentral is "partial 16S ribosomal RNA". It matches the Rfam family "Bacterial small subunit ribosomal RNA", at positions 28 to 507 of the family's 1533-position model. The record is from RNAcentral.